Molecule: transfer RNA, 88 nt
Filed under: Acidobacteriota bacterium
Lineage: Bacteria; Pseudomonadati; Acidobacteriota
Description: Acidobacteria bacterium (rhizosphere metagenome) tRNA-Ser
Rfam family: tRNA
About the family: Transfer RNA (tRNA) molecules are approximately 80 nucleotides in length. Their secondary structure includes four short double-helical elements and three loops (D, anti-codon, and T loops).
Source: RNAcentral
GUGAUGGCCUGCUCAAUGGCGCGAGCUAGGGACUGGAAAUCCUGAGCCUCCCCGGCGUUUGCGGGUUCAAAUCCCGUCCAUCACCCCA